RNAcentral lists this ribosomal RNA (281 nucleotides) under uncultured Glomus. RNAcentral's name for it is "partial 18S small subunit ribosomal RNA". It matches the Rfam family "Eukaryotic small subunit ribosomal RNA", at positions 591 to 878 of the family's 1831-position model. The record is from RNAcentral. Lineage: Eukaryota; Fungi; Glomeromycota; Glomeromycetes; Glomerales; Glomeraceae.
CCAAUAGCGUAUAUUAAAGUUGUUGCAGUUAAAAAGCUCGUAGUUGAAUUUCGGGACUAAUAUGUCGGUCGUGCCUCGGUACGUACUGGUUUAUUGGUUUCUCCUUUCUGAAGAACCAUGAUGUCAUUUAUUUGGUGUCGUGGGGAAUCAGGACUGUUACUUUGAAAAAAUUAGAGUGUUUAAAGCAGGCUCACGCUUGAAUACAUUAGCAUGGAAUAAUGAAAUAGGACGUUUGAUUCUAUUUUGUUGGUUUCUAGGAUCGACGUAAUGAUUAAUAGGGA